UGGAAUGUGCUUCCCGCGGGGGAUGAUGCUCCAGCCCCUUCUCCCAGCCUGCCCUGGCGGACGGCCCGCGCCAAGGGCGCUCCUCUGCGCGCCGCUGCCGGGCCGCCCACCCUGCGGCCUGAGCCGCUGGCGGCCCGCGCUGUCAGCUGACCCUCUCGCUCCGCGACCUCUGCUUCUCCCUCAGGAUAGCUCCGAGGUGGCUGCUCUGAACGCACUUCGGCCUCUGCGGAAGGAAUUCGUGCCGUUCCUGCUGAACUUCCUGAGGGAACAGAGCAGCCGGGUCCUCCCGCAGGGCCCCUCGACCCCCGCCAAGACCCCAGGCGCCUCGGCAGCCUUGCCAGCGAGGCAGGGGGCCCCGCCGCGGGGUGGCCGUGGGGCGCGCAGCCAGCUCUUCCCCGCGGCCGAGCCCCUCAGCACCGCCGCCGAGGCACCUCUGGCCCGCCGUGCGGGCCGCAGGCGUGGUCCGGGACCGGGGCAGUCCCGCGAACGAGGUGGUCGGGGCUCCGGGGCCCCGGAGGAGGGGGCCAGUGGCGAGAGCCCGCCUUGGGCCGGAGGCCGGAAGCCUAAGGGCUCAGGCAGCCCUGGGAGCCCCAGACUGUCGCUCUCUGAUCCGCCAAACCUCAGCAACUUGGAGGAGUUUCCUCCCGUAGGCACCGUUCCUCCCGGCUCUGCAGGCAGGACGAAGCCUUCUCGAAGGAUCAACCCAACACCGGUGAGCGAAGAGCGGUCACUGUCCAAGCCCAAGACCUGCUUCACCUCACCCCCAAUCAGCUGUGUCCCCAGUUCCCAACCCUCAGCCCUGGACACUAGCCCUUGGGGCCUUGGCCUUCCCCCAGGGUGCAGAAGUCUGCAAGAGGAGCGGGAGAUGCUCAGGAAGGCGCGCUCCAAGCAGCUCCAGCAGUCACCUACCCCAGCCUGUCCCGUCCUAGAAUCGGGGUCUCCCGUUCCCAGCAGGACAGGAAGCCUCACAGCAGAGCCUGCGGACCCAGCCCGAGUGUCUUCUCCACAGCGCCUCGAGCUGGUAGCCCUUAUCUACUCCUCAUGCAUUGCUGAGAACCUAGUACCAAACCUUUUCUUGGAGCUUUUCUUCGUCCUUCAGCUCCUUACUGCCCGGAGAAUGGUGGCCACCAAGGACAGUGACCUUGAAUCAAGUCAGGGUGCCCUAGAUUCCCUGGAAACUCCCCUGUUUCGGAGCAUCCAUGAUUGCGUCUUCUUUGCAGUACAAGUUUUGGAGCAUCAGUUUCAGGUUCUCUCCUACCUGGAUAAAGGGACCUUGAAGCUGCUGGCUGAGAAUGAGCGGCUGCUGUGCUUCUCACCGGCUCUGCAGGGCCGCCUUCGAGCUGCUUAUGAAGGCAGUGUUGCCAAGGUCUCCCUCAUGAUGCCACCCUCUGCUCAAGCUGUCUCCUUUCAGCCAGAGACUGACAAUCGUGCCAACUUCUCCAGUGACCGAGCCUUUCAUACUUUUAAAAAACAGAGGGAUGUGUUCUAUGAGGUACUUCGAGAGUGGGAAGAUCACCAUGAGGAACCCAGCUGGGAUUUUGAGAAGGGCUUGGGUAGCAGGAUCAGAGCCAUGAUGGGUCAACUUUCAGCAGCCUGCAGCCAUAGCCACUUUGUCCGCCUUUUCCAAAAACAGCUUCUCCAGAUGUGUCAGAGCCCUGGCGGUGCUGGGGGAUCUGUUCUGGGUGAAGCUCCAGAUGUAUUGAAUAUGCUAGGAGCUGACAAGCUAGGACGGUUGCGGCAGCUCCAAGAACGCCUUAUAGCCCCUCAGAGCAGUGGAGGACCCUGCCCACCCCCAACCUUCCCAGGCUGUCAAGGCUUCUUCAGGGAUUUCAUCAUGAGUGCCAGCAGCUUCCAUUUUAAUCAGCAUCUCAUGGAUAGUUUAAGUUUAAAGAUUCGGGAGCUCAAUGGCCUUCGCCUGCCUCAGCAUGAGCCUGGUGAUGAAGAUGGGGAGUCAGACGUGGACUGGCAGGGUGAACGGAGGCAAUUCGCUGUAGUGCUUCUUAGUCUUAGACUUUUGGCUAAAUUUCUGGGCUUUGUGGCUUUCCUGCCAUACCGGGGACAUGAACCACCCCCAACCCGUGAGCUUCAGGACUCUAUACUGGCCCUCAGGAGCCAGGUCCCUCCUGUUCUGGAUAUACGGGCUCUGCUGCAGCAGGGGUUGUGGGCUCGUCGGGCAGUGCUCACUGUGCCCUGGCUGGUGGAAUUCCUCUCUUUUGCUGACCACAUUGUCCCCUUGCUGGACUAUUACCGGAGUGUCUUUACUCUCCUGCUGCACUUACAUCGGAGUUUGGUCUUAUCAAAGGAGAAUGAAGGAGAGAUGUGCUUCCUGAACAAGCUGCUGCUGCUUGCUGUCCUGGGCUGGCUUUUCCAGAUACCUACAGUUCCUGAGGACUUAUUCUUUCUAGAAGAUGGUCAGGCCUUUGAGGUAGAUACAGCUGCUUCAGAGCAUGGUUUGGACAGUGUGCCUGUUGUGGACCAGCAACUGCUAUACACCUGCUGCCCCUACAUUGGAGAGCUCCGGAAAUUGCUUGCUUCCUGGGUUUCAGGAAGCAGUGGGCGGAGUGGAGGCUUUGUGAGGAAAAUCACUCCCACUACCACCACCAGCCUGGGAACCCUGCCUCUCAAGACCAGCCAGGGGUUGCAGGCUCAACUUGCUGAGGCCUUUUUCCACAAUCAGCCACCCUCCCUACGCAGAACUGUAGAAUUUGUGGCUGAAAGAAUUGGAUCAAACUGUGUCAAACACAUCAAGGCGACACUGGUAGCAGAUUUGGUGCAUCAAGCAGAAUCACUUCUUCAGGAGCAGCUGGUGACACGGGGACAGGAAGGGGGCGAUCCAGCACAGCUGUUGGAAUUCUUGUGUUCUCAACUUUGCCCCCAUGGGGCCCAAGCAUUGACCCAGGGGCGGGAGUUCUGCCAGAGGAAGAGCCCCACCGCUGUGCGAGCACUGUUACCAGAGGAGACUCCAGCUGCUGUUCUAAGCAGUGCAGAGAACAUUGCUGUGGGGCUUGCAACAGAGAAAGCCUGCUCUUGGUUGUCAGCCAACAUCACAGCGCUGAUUAGAAGGGAGGUGAAAGCAGCCGUGAGUCGCAUGCUACGAGCCCAGGGUCCUGAGCCAACUGCCCGGGUGGAGCGGAGGGGCUGCUCCCGAGCCUGUGAGCACCAUGCUCCCCUCCCCUCCCACCUCAUCUCCGAGAUAAAAGAUGUGCUCUCCCUGGCUGCCGGGCCUCGGGACCCUGAGGAGGGAGUUUCCCCAGAGCAUCUGGAACAGCUCCUAAACCAGCUGGGCCAGUCACUGCGAUGCCGGCAGUUCCUGUGCCCGACGGCUGAGCAGCAUCUGGCCAAGUGUUCUGUUGAGCUGGCUUCCCUUCUAGUUGCAGACCAGAUCCCCAUCUUAGGGCCCCCAGCACAGCACAGGCUGGAGCGAGGGCAUGCUCGCAGGCUUCUACACAUGCUGCUUUCCUUGUGGAAGGAUGACUUCCAGGGCCCAGUUCCAUUACAGCUUCUACUUAGCCCAAGAAAUGUAGGGCUUCUGGCAGAUACUAGGCCAAGAGAGUGGGACCUGCUACUGUUCUUACUCCGGGAGCUGGUAGAAAAGGAUCUCAUGGGACAUCUGGAGAUAGAAGCCUGCUUAGGCAGCCUUAAUGAGGCACAGUGGCCAGGGGACUUCUCAGAAGAAUUGUCAACACUGUUUCGCUUGUUCCUAGCUGAGCCCCAUCUGCUAGAACCCCAGCUGAGAGCUUGUGAACUUAUGCAACCAAACCGAGGGACAGUACUGGCCCAAAGCUAGGGCUGGGAAGCAGCCCUCUUGGGCAUGUCACCAGAACCUGCCUCAGGAGGAGGCUCAAAAACCCACUGCACGCCUUGAUGGGGCAAGAGUGUCCAGGUGUGUAAUCAGGCUUGCUGCUCCUAAGUGAAGGAAACGUGUUGCUUCAAGCAUCCAGACACAGGCCUCAACACCUGAGAUCUAGAGGAAGGAGAACCUGAUUCAGAGUCACAGUGGAAAAGCCCAGAGACUCCAAUCUUGGAACAGAAGGGCUGGCGUUUUUAAUCCAGAUGCUAAAAGAAAUGUGUGUGCUGAUCAAUGUAUGUCAAGCCUCAAGUUGCUAUCCCAGUAUCUCUUAAAACUUUGUGGUUCUGAGAAAUCUUAACAGGCAAAGAACUGCUUGUGAGAAAGUUGAUAAAACGUGGAUUUGGAAGUCUACAUUUUCCAUCCAGAACUUGACUGUCACCCAUCCCCAAAUAUUGGCAGCCAAUAAGGUGUAGAAGAGGAAGCUAUCGAGAGUUGACUACGCUUCAGAUUGCUGACUCAGGUCUCUUGAGGGGCUUUGUACCUUAUGCUGUCCACCUAUUUAGAUUCCUACAGUAGCUGAGCUCAUAAUACUAGCGCAUUAAUGUAAAAUCUCAACCCUAAACUGUAAGUACUGCCAUCAUGACCCUCAACGGUACAUUCUAUUUGUUGUUUUUUGAGAUAGUUUCUCUGUGCGGCCCUGGCUGCCUAGGAACUCACGCUGUAGACCAGGUUGGCCUCAUACUCAGAGAUCUGCCUGCCUCUGCCUCUUGCUGGGAUUAAAGGCGUAAACCCACCACUA
Mastomys coucha (southern multimammate mouse) is the source of this 4589-nucleotide RNA transcript. It is a transcript of the gene named codanin 1, with no coding region annotated. The record is from RefSeq and is a predicted model, not a curated record. NCBI's taxonomy places the organism in Eukaryota, Metazoa, Chordata, Mammalia, Rodentia, Muridae. The transcript is spliced from 28 exons.